UUUAGAGCUUUCUCUCUUCUCUAUUAGAUUCAUACAAUAGUUGUUAUAUACCAUUAGGGUUCUUGAAUAAUAAGGAGUUCAAGAUUAUGUAGGUAUAAAUUAAUAAAAUGAAGGAGGACAACCAUUACCUUGAAGAAUCCAUGUCUUAGCAAGUGGUAUUUUCUGUCUAGCAAGGGAGGAUGUUCUGGUGAUUAGUGCAUUUUGGGACAGCCAUGGAAGGAUUCCUAUUUAAAUUCAUAUAUGAGCUUGUAAUGCUGAAUAUUGCUCUUUAUUCCAAUGUACCGAGCAUUAGAGGGAACGAUCAAAUGGUGGAAAAAUGGAGCAGUCAGCGCCUCUCUUAGAAGUUCCGCGAAGCAUUACCUUAUAGACCAUUGAUAAAAAACAUGAAGAUGCUUGGAUUAAGCGGAAGACGGUUAUGAAAUUACCAAAGGGAGAAUUGCCGAUUCAUUCGGGGAUUCUGACUUACUACGCCGAAUUAUCCGUUGCAGCACAAAUAUGUGAAAACUAUUAAUACAUGUUAAGUGUUUUAGAUAGAGUAGAGAACCAUCAUUAUUAUUUUUUACUAAAUAAGUACUUUUUAUAUUCUUACGUUGAGUUUGAGAGGGUUUUGAAAACUUAAAGAUAAAAAGGGUUUCAUCUUCA
Molecule: long non-coding RNA, 642 nt
Organism: Solanum pennellii
Lineage: Eukaryota; Viridiplantae; Streptophyta; Magnoliopsida; Solanales; Solanaceae
Exons: 2
Source: RefSeq, a predicted model, not a curated record